This 235-nucleotide ribosomal RNA is filed under the name uncultured Actinomycetales bacterium. RNAcentral's name for it is "partial 16S ribosomal RNA". It matches the Rfam family "Bacterial small subunit ribosomal RNA", at positions 97 to 334 of the family's 1533-position model. The record is from RNAcentral. Lineage: Bacteria; Bacillati; Actinomycetota; Actinomycetes; Actinomycetales.
GGCGAACGGGUGAGUAACACGUGAGUAAUCUGCCCUGCACUCUGGGGUAAGCCUGGGAAACUGGGUCUAAUACUGGAUAUGACCUUUCUCCUUAUGGGGUUUGGUGGAAAGUUUUUCGGUGUAGGAUGAGCCCGCGGCCUAUCAGCUUGUUGGUGGGGUGAUGGCCUACCAAGGCGACGACGGGUAGCCGGCCUGAGAGGGUGAUCGGCCACAUUGGGACUGAGAUACGGCCCAG